GCGGCUCGUCAGAGGAGGCAAGGGAGGCUCAGCCUCCCCAUAAAUUUUUUACACACUCUACACUGUUUUGUUUAUCAUGAAUCGCGAAAACAACAAUCACUCUCACUAUUAUACAACGUGUAAAUUCCAUAUUAUCACUAAUUAUCCAUACGUACGGAGCAUUAGCAUUAGAACGCAUGAUCGCGUCUCAGUUUUAUUACAUAUUAGUGUAGGCAGGACCCUGGGUUAUCCCGAGAUGCAAGCACGGAGCCGAGAAGCCCGCAGUCUCCGUUGCUAAUGCUCCGUGCAGCGCAGCAGGCGUUUAAGGAGACCCGGUCUCCUAACAGUGGCAUCUACGGUCACGGUGCCAUCACACGCUGCCCGGAGAUAUACCAAGGGAGGCAGAGUAGCUUCUCGGCUCCGUUGCGUGCGUCUCGGGGCAACGAAUUUUAGGGUCCUGACUAAAAAUAAUGAAAAAUCUAAAAGUGCGAAUUUUGUUAUGAAAUUUGGUAUGUGGGGUUAUAAUAAUAUUUGGAACAACUUGCUCAAAUAACUUUUUCCGAUAUCUCUAACUCAAAGCAAAAUAUCGGUAAUUUAUCGUGUUUUUGAAUUCGCAGUAGGCCGCGUUUAGAAUUAAAAAAAUUCAGUUGAGUGUAACGUUUCAAUUAGCCGAUUGAACGCUACACCAAGCUCCGCUUGGUAUUUGUCCCUCGGACUAUAUAUUUCUAGAAGCGACCCUACUACCGUCAAGUCAAUUAGUACAUCUCUUCGAAGCUAUUUAAUGCGAUAAAAAUUUGUACUAGCUCCCUUUUGCCAUUGCCACGUAAAUCAGGCACAAUAAGGCAUACAUUAUCGUGUUUGUGUGUAGGCCGUUAAACAAUGGCCCCUACCUCGGGAAGAAGAUUUUAAUCAAGCACCUGGAAAAGAAAACCUUCUACCGCUACCUUGGAGAGCGAAUUAGCUUACAACCGUAUCCUGAUGCAGUAGAAUAAAUUAAACAAGACAGCCCUACAGAGACAAGACAGCCCAACAACGUAGCCCUAGACUUCCCUUAACUACCGGCGACGACAAAUUCUACAGGGAUUGGGGACCUCCUUUAGGAACUGUAACGGAAGGACUUAAAGCUGAGUAAAUUUUUACCUUUAUAACUUUUGUACCGAUUACCAGCGGGGUCUCGGUCACGGGCUUAGAAAAUUAACUUGGUUAUCAUCAGUAUACAAUAAAAAUGAUUUUUGUUAAGUUUUUUUUAUAUUUCAAUAAAUAGCGUAUUUAAAAAUGA
Long non-coding RNA from Diabrotica virgifera virgifera (western corn rootworm), 1258 nucleotides. RefSeq lists it as uncharacterized. The transcript is spliced from 2 exons. The record is from RefSeq and is a predicted model, not a curated record. Lineage: Eukaryota; Metazoa; Arthropoda; Insecta; Coleoptera; Chrysomelidae.